This is a long non-coding RNA of Coregonus clupeaformis (lake whitefish), 379 nucleotides long. RefSeq lists it as uncharacterized. The record is from RefSeq and is a predicted model, not a curated record. The transcript is spliced from 3 exons. NCBI's taxonomy places the organism in Eukaryota, Metazoa, Chordata, Actinopteri, Salmoniformes, Salmonidae.
ACCUGAAAAGACUGAUACAAGUCCUGCUGAGACUGGCUGUACUAACAUGGACACCAUAACCUUACAUGCCAGCUGACCAGGAGAAGUGCCUGGCAGAGGAGAGGCGGCAGGAGUGCAUGGCCGAGUGUCUCUCAACUGGAGGGAGAAACAACAGGCGUUUGCAGACAUCUUCAGCGCUAAGGAGGACCUCAAGUCUCAGAGGCAGAACAGCCUGACUCCAACCCCUUCUGCAGCACCCAAUGUAUCAGCAAUAAUCCUACUUUUCUCAGGAGUGACCAGAGGGUGAAGAUUCUGAAAAACCAAGAUGGCACUCCCAGGAACUUAAUGGAAGGGGACCCAGUCUUAAUCUCCACACCAGAGACUGGGGCUGAGGAUGCUG